AUUACUUGGCUAAAAGAAGGUGAUAGGAAUACUUCAUUCUUUCAUAAAGUGGCAUCAAGUAGAAAAAGAGAGAAUUAUCUUGACAUUUUGUUGGAUGGCUGUAUUAAGUAUUCUAACCAGAAAGACAUUGCUUCGAUUCUUCACUCAUUCUUUAAGGAUCUCUUUGGAUGGAAUAUAGCACCUAAGUUAAAAAUCAAUUGGAGCAUGCUUUUUGACUCACCACCCCCUG
This 229-nucleotide long non-coding RNA is filed under the name Elaeis guineensis (African oil palm). RNAcentral's name for it is "long non-coding RNA (EGUI_LNC005919)". The record is from RNAcentral. Lineage: Eukaryota; Viridiplantae; Streptophyta; Magnoliopsida; Arecales; Arecaceae.